GAUGAACGCUGGCGGCGUGCCUAAUACAUGCAAGUCGAGCGAACAGACGAGGAGCUUGCUCCUCUGACGUUAGCGGCGGACGGGUGAGUAACACGUGGAUAACCUACCUAUAAGACUUGGAUAACUUCGGGAAACCGGAGCUACUACCGGAUAAUAUAUUGAACCGCAUGGUUCAAUAGUUCAAGACGGUUUUGCUGUCACUUAUAGAUGGAUCCGCGCCGCAUUAGCUAGUUGGUAAGGUAACGGCUUACCAAGGCAACGAUGCGUAGCCGACCUGAGAGGGUGAUCGGCCACACUGGAACUGAGACACGGUCCAGGCUCCUACGGGAGGCAGCAGUAGGGAAUCUUGCGCAAUGGGCGAAAGCCUGACGGAGCAACGCCGCGUGAGUGAUGAAGGUCUUCGGAUCGUAAAACUCUGUUAUUAGGGAAGAACAAAUGUGUAAGUAACUAUGCACGUCUUGACGGUACCUAAUCAGAAAGCCACGGCUAACUACGUG
This 497-nucleotide ribosomal RNA is filed under the name uncultured bacterium. RNAcentral's name for it is "partial 16S ribosomal RNA". It matches the Rfam family "Bacterial small subunit ribosomal RNA", at positions 28 to 507 of the family's 1533-position model. The record is from RNAcentral.